GGGGUGCCAACGGACCCCGAUGACAUCAUCAGCUGGGGAGAAGGAGAUGCUUACUUCUUCAAGGACAACCUCUAUUGGGUGCUGAAGAGAGGAGGACUGGACCAAGAUAAUGUCACUCCAAAAUCCAUUGCGGUGGAUUGGCUCAGGUGUCCACAAGUGUCCAUGCCCACACCCCACCUUCCAGCCAAUCCUCAUCCAAAGGGAAAAGACUGCAGCUGUGACUUGAGCAGAGCAUCUGCAAGGCCCAUUUGUAGUUGGCUGAUCCUGCUAUCUGUCAUGGUAGUAUUCACCAGAUUUGUUUUAAAUUAACGAGUUAAUAAUAAUAGUAUAACACAGUCAUGUCUACUAAGUUGAAUGAUCAUUUGAAAUAUAUGUUUUCAGUAAGGGUGA
Molecule: long non-coding RNA, 390 nt
Organism: Coregonus clupeaformis (lake whitefish)
Lineage: Eukaryota; Metazoa; Chordata; Actinopteri; Salmoniformes; Salmonidae
Exons: 2
Source: RefSeq, a predicted model, not a curated record